GUCAGUCUGACAGAUAAUGUACUAGAUUUAGGAUCUACUUAUGAGGGUGGUAGUCCCUCGGCUGAUU
Molecule: transfer RNA, 67 nt
Filed under: Moina macrocopa
Lineage: Eukaryota; Metazoa; Arthropoda; Branchiopoda; Diplostraca; Moinidae
Description: tRNA-Leu
Source: RNAcentral